RNAcentral lists this ribosomal RNA (816 nucleotides) under Acinetobacter nosocomialis. RNAcentral's name for it is "bacterial SSU rRNA". It matches the Rfam family "Bacterial small subunit ribosomal RNA", at positions 158 to 968 of the family's 1533-position model. The record is from RNAcentral. Lineage: Bacteria; Pseudomonadati; Pseudomonadota; Gammaproteobacteria; Moraxellales; Moraxellaceae.
GGAUGCUAAUACCGCAUACGUCCUACGGGAGAAAGCAGGGGAUCUUCGGACCUUGCGCUAAUAGAUGAGCCUAAGUCGGAUUAGCUAGUUGGUGGGGUAAAGGCCUACCAAGGCGACGAUCUGUAGCGGGUCUGAGAGGAUGAUCCGCCACACUGGGACUGAGACACGGCCCAGACUCCUACGGGAGGCAGCAGUGGGGAAUAUUGGACAAUGGGCGCAAGCCUGAUCCAGCCAUGCCGCGUGUGUGAAGAAGGCCUUAUGGUUGUAAAGCACUUUAAGCGAGGAGGAGGCUACUUUAGAUAAUACCUAGAGAUAGUGGACGUUACUCGCAGAAUAAGCACCGGCUAACUCUGUGCCAGCAGCCGCGGUAAUACAGAGGGUGCAAGCGUUAAUCGGAUUUACUGGGCGUAAAGCGCGCGUAGGCGGCUAAUUAAGUCAAAUGUGAAAUCCCCGAGCUUAACUUGGGAAUUGCAUUCGAUACUGGUUAGCUAGAGUGUGGGAGAGGAUGGUAGAAUUCCAGGUGUAGCGGUGAAAUGCGUAGAGAUCUGGAGGAAUACCGAUGGCGAAGGCAGCCAUCUGGCCUAACACUGACGCUGAGGUGCGAAAGCAUGGGGAGCAAACAGGAUUAGAUACCCUGGUAGUCCAUGCCGUAAACGAUGUCUACUAGCCGUUGGGGCCUUUGAGGCUUUAGUGGCGCAGCUAACGCGAUAAGUAGACCGCCUGGGGAGUACGGUCGCAAGACUAAAACUCAAAUGAAUUGACGGGGGCCCGCACAAGCGGUGGAGCAUGUGGUUUAAUUCGAUGCAACGCGAAGAA